This 1380-nucleotide ribosomal RNA is filed under the name metagenome. RNAcentral's name for it is "bacterial LSU rRNA". It matches the Rfam family "Bacterial large subunit ribosomal RNA", at positions 1454 to 2817 of the family's 2925-position model. The record is from RNAcentral.
CCUUGGAGCGAUGAAGGGACGCGGCGUGGUAGGUCAGCCUCUUAACGGAUUGAGGUGCCAAACGCGUAGGACGUUGAAGGGUGUAGGUAAGUCCGCACCCCGAGUCCGAAACGUGAUGGCGGUGCCUUAGAGCCACAAGUGAUUGAGCCAUGCCGCCUAGAAAAGCUUCUAAGCGUUGAUAUUUGAGUGACCGUACCGCAAACCGACACUGGUAGGUGGGUAGAAUAUACCAAGGGGAGCGAGAGAACCCUCGUUAAGGAAUUAGGCAAAUUUCCCCCGUACGUUCGCAAUAAGGGGGGCCUCUGGUGGUGAGCUUAAUCGCAAAGCUGCUGGAGGCCGCAGAGAAAUGGCUCUUCCAACUGUUUAACAAAAACACAGGUCUCUGCUAAGUCGAAAGACGAAGUAUAGGGGCUGACGCCUGCCCAGUGCUGGAAGGUUAAGGGGAGAGGUUAGGCGCAAGCCGAAGCUUUGAGCCGAAGCCCCAGUGAACGGCGGCCGUAACGAUAACGGUCCUAAGGUAGCGAAAUUCCUUGUCGGGUAAGAUCCGACCCGCACGAAUGGCGUAAUGAGAGGGGCACUGUCUCAACGAGGGACUCGGCGAACAUUGAAGGACGUGUGAAGAUACACGUGACCCGCAGCGGGACAAAAAGACCCCGUGAAGCUUUACUACAACUUGCCAUUGAGUUAGGGCUAAACCUGUGUAGUAUAGGUGGGAGGCUUUGAAGCUGGGACGCCAGUCUCGGUGGAGCCACCGUUGAAAUACCACCCUGGUUUAUUCUUGGCUCUAACCUGUCGCCGUUAUCCGGCAUGGGAACAGUGGCUGGUGGGUAGUUUGACUGGGGCGGUCGCCUCCGAAAGCGUAACAGAGGCGCCCAAAGGUUCCCUCAGGCUGAAUGGAAACCAGCCGUUGAGUGUAAAGGCACAAGGGAGCUUGACUGCAAGACCAACAAGUCGCGCAGGGACGAAAGUCGGGCUUAGUGAUCCCACGGUUCAGAGUGGAAUGGCCGUGGCUUACCGGAUAAAAGCUACUCCGGGGAUAACAGGGUAGUCUGGUCCAAGAGUUCAUAUCGACGACCAGGUUCGCCACCUCGAUGUCGGCUCAUCACAUCCUGGGGCUUGAUAAGGUCCCAAGGGUUGGGCUGUUCGCCCAUUAAAGUGGUACGUGAGCUGGGUUCAGACCGUCGUGAGACAGGUCGGUCUCUAUCCGCUGUGGGCGUAAGGGAUUUGAGAGAAGCUGCCCCUAGCACGAGAGGACCGGGGUGGACGGACCUCUAGUGUGCCAGUUGUUCUGCCAAGAGCAUUGCUGGGUAGCUACGUCCGGCAGAGAUGACCGCUGAAAGCAUCUAAGUGGGAAACUCGUCUCAAGAUUAGAUCCCUCAU